GAUGAACGCUAGCUACAGGCUUAACACAUGCAAGUCGAGGGGAAACGACAUCGAAAGCUUGCUUUUGAUGGGCGUCGACCGGCGCACGGGGGAGUAACGCGUAUCCAACCUGCCCAUCACUUGGGGAUAACCUUGCGAAAGUAAGACUAAUACCCAAUGAUAUCUCUAGAAGACAUCUGAAAGAGAUUAAAGAUUUAUCGGUGAUGGAUGGGGAUGCGUCUGAUUAGCUUGUUGGCGGGGUAACGGCCCACCAAGGCAACGAUCAGUAGGGGUUCUGAGAGGAAGGUCCCCCACAUUGGAACUGAGACACGGUCCAAACUCCUACGGGAGGCAGCAGUGAGGAAUAUUGGUCAAUGGGCGAGAGCCUGAACCAGCCAAGUAGCGUGCAGGAAGACGGCCCUAUGGGUUGUAAACUGCUUUUAUAAGGGAAUAAAGUGAGAGUCGUGACUCUUUUUGUAUGUACCUUAUGAAUAAGGACCGGCUAAUUCCGUG
RNAcentral lists this ribosomal RNA (492 nucleotides) under uncultured bacterium. RNAcentral's name for it is "partial 16S ribosomal RNA". It matches the Rfam family "Bacterial small subunit ribosomal RNA", at positions 28 to 507 of the family's 1533-position model. The record is from RNAcentral.